UACGUAGGUGGCAAGCGUUGUCCGGAUUUACUGGGUGUAAAGGGCGUGUAGCCGGGUUGACAAGUCAGAUGUGAAAUCCUGCGGCUUAACCGCAGAACUGCAUUUGAAACUGUUGAUCUUGAGUACUGGAGAGGCAGACGGAAUUCCUAGUGUAGCGGUGAAAUGCGUAGAUAUUAGGGGGAACACCAGUGGCGAAGGCGGUCUGCUGGACAGCAACUGACGGUGAGGCGCGAAAGCGUGGGGAGCAAACAGG
Molecule: ribosomal RNA, 253 nt
Filed under: uncultured bacterium
Lineage: Bacteria
Description: partial 16S ribosomal RNA
Rfam family: Bacterial small subunit ribosomal RNA
Source: RNAcentral